GUUUGCACACCUCUCUCCUGCCAUCAGCACCUCCUAAUGCAGCCCUUGGUUUGAGCUCCUUACAUUGCUCUUGGAAUAUUGCCACUGCGGGGCAUAUGGGCUGUUUCCAUUUGUCCAGCAGGCCUUCUCCUCCUCAUUCCAACUGAUUCUGAGGGGCCCAUCAUCGCAUUGUCUCCACCCAAACCACCACUGCAGUAUGAAAUAUUUGUAUUCACUUAAAGUGGAAAGACAAUCUGCACACCUGGAGGAGAUAUUUGCAACAUUUACAACUGGCAAAGGUUUAUUACCAAGAAUAUAUAAAGAAGUCUUAUAAAUCAACAAGAAAGAAGAAAAACAACAGAAAGAAAUGGACAAAAGAAAAAGCAUUUUAUAAAAGAAGAAAUGCUCAUGGCCAGCAAACAUAUGGAGAUGUUCAAACUCAUGUGAAAUGUAAAUCAAGACCCAAUAAGAUAAGCUUUUAUGUCCACUAAAAUGGCAAAAUGUUAAUAGCUAGACAAUCCAAGUAUUGGAGAACAUACAGAUCCAUGGGAUCUCUUACAUAUCGCUUAUAAGGGUACGCAUUAGGACAUAGGACACUCACUUAGAAAAAGUGUGGCAUUAUCUUGCAAAAUCAAACACUCACAUAGGCUGCUGUGCAGGUCCUGAGUCUGUUUGCCCUCAGAUCCACUCUUUGCUAUGCCCUUAUGUCCUCAGUUUUCCAGCAGGAUCUCGGCAGCCAUGUCAUCUUGCUUCCAGUUGGGCUCAGUUAAUAAAAGAGAGAGAAUGGAAGGUGGAAAGAAGGGAGAAGCCAAGGUGUUUCUCACCAGCACCCUCCCCUUCUCCUCUCAGGUAACAUCCCCUGUGGUGGCCACAGCUCUCCGAUGGGUCCAGUUCCCACAGGAAAGCCAGCCAUGAUUCUAACUUCUACCAGGUGACCCUGGCCCUGGGCUCUGGUGACACUAACCUUUUGUUUCUCUAGUCCUGGGGAGGGGUAGUAACAGCUUCCUGCUAUUAUUAAUUUAUGGAUUGCCUCAUUGCCUCCUGUGAGGCUUCUCAGCUAUUGAUUACCAUACUACUCAGCAAUAAAAAGGAAAAAACUAUUGAUACAUGCAACAACUUUGUCGGACCACAAGAGAAUUUUACCAACUAAAAAAGCCAGUCUCACAUUGUUACAUACUAUAUGAUUCCACUUACAUAACCUUCUAGAAAUGACAAAAUUAUUGAGGUGAAGAACAGAUUAGUGGUUGCCAAGGGUUAAAGACAGGGUUGGGGUUGGAGAAAGAAAUCAGUGUACCUAAAAAGAAGCAGCCAGAGGGAUCUUUGUGGUGACGGGACAGUUCUGUAUCUUGAUUGUGGUGGUGGUUAUACAAAUCUACGUGUAAUAAAGUUUUAUGUGUGCAUAGAACUAUGUACAUACUCAAACAAAUGCAUGUAACCCUGGUGAAAUCUGAAUAAGGUCUGUGGAUUGUGCCAAUACCAGUGACCUGGUUUUGAUACUGUAUUAUAGCUAUCUAAGACAUUAUUAUCAGGAGAAAAUGGGGGAAAGGUACAUGUACUUUUCUGUACUAUUUUUGCAACUUCUCGUGAAUCUGUUACUAUUUCAAAAUUAAAAGUAUCUGAAAAUCCAUAGAGUGGUUUCUGUUUUUUCUGAUUAGAC
Molecule: long non-coding RNA, 1636 nt
Filed under: Homo sapiens (human)
Lineage: Eukaryota; Metazoa; Chordata; Mammalia; Primates; Hominidae
Description: HSALNT0330280
Source: RNAcentral